Molecule: small nucleolar RNA, 123 nt
Filed under: Echinops telfairi (small Madagascar hedgehog)
Lineage: Eukaryota; Metazoa; Chordata; Mammalia; Afrosoricida; Tenrecidae
Description: Small nucleolar RNA SNORA61 (ENSETEG00000025622.1)
Source: RNAcentral
ACCCUCCAGCUUCCUUACGCAUCAGGUCUAAACACGGGGUGAGUGGCUAUAAAAGGGGGAAAAAAAUGAAACCUGAAGCAGACUUGGAUUCUUUUGUGACACACAGGUUGAUUUCAACUAAAA